Molecule: long non-coding RNA, 277 nt
Filed under: Lathyrus oleraceus (garden pea)
Lineage: Eukaryota; Viridiplantae; Streptophyta; Magnoliopsida; Fabales; Fabaceae
Description: Pisum sativum (pea) long non-coding RNA (PSAT_LNC035775)
Source: RNAcentral
UGAAGCGCGUGCGUGGCCAUCAGAUCUGCCACCUUAAUUCAUGAGGGAGAUCUUAUGGCCCUCGUUUUUUCCAAUUUAUUUUUAUUUUUUUAUUUUCAUUUAAUUGCUUUAUUUUGUUUAAUUCAUAGAAAUUUCAUUUUUAAUCCAAAAAAUAUGGGACAUUCACUAAAAAUAUUUAAAUAUUUUUUUCUUCCAUAUUCUGAAUUUAAAUUAUUUUUUGGAUUAAUUUUGAUAUUUUUCAUGAAUUAAAUGUUUUUAUGCAUAUUUUUAAUUGUUU